AAGUCGUAACAAGGUUUCCGUAGGUGAACCUGCGGAAGGAUCAUUACCGUGACCGCCCAGGGAGGGGGCCGUCCCCUGAAAAAGGACGGCCCCUGGCCUAGCCGCGUGACACACUACCUCACCUACUCGUACCCCUUGUUCUUCCCUCGGCAGGGACGCCUGCUGAUGGGGACCCCCCCCCAAACCCUCUGUACCAGCAUGAAAAUCUGAAUCGGACCCAACUAUUACAACUUUCAACAAUGGAUCUCUUGGCUCUG
RNAcentral lists this unclassified non-coding RNA (257 nucleotides) under fungal sp. RNAcentral describes it as "partial internal transcribed spacer region". The stretch from base 1 to 46 matches the Rfam family "Eukaryotic small subunit ribosomal RNA", at positions 1786 to 1831 of the family's 1831-position model. The record is from RNAcentral. Lineage: Eukaryota; Fungi.